RNAcentral lists this ribosomal RNA (189 nucleotides) under uncultured bacterium. RNAcentral's name for it is "partial 16S ribosomal RNA". It matches the Rfam family "Bacterial small subunit ribosomal RNA", at positions 338 to 524 of the family's 1533-position model. The record is from RNAcentral.
CCUACGGGAGGCAGCAGUGAGGAAUAUUGGACAAUGGGCGCAAGCCUGAUCCAGCCAUGCCGCGUGCAGGAUGACGGUCCUAUGGAUUGUAAACUGCUUUUAUACGGGAAGAAACCCUGGCUCGUGAGCCAGAUUGACGGUACCGUAGGAAUAAGGAUCGGCUAACUCCGUGCCAGCAGCCGCGGUAAU